GACAGAGGGUGCAAACGUUGUUCGGAAUUACUGGGCGUAAAGCGCGUGUAGGCGGCUUGGCAAGUCGGGUGUGAAAGCCCUGGGCUCAACCUAGGAAGUGCACUCGAAACUGCUGAGCUGGAGUUCUGGAGAGGAAGGCGGAAUUCUCGGUGUAGAGGUGAAAUUCGUAGAUAUCGAGAGGAACACCGGUGGCGAAGGCGGCGAUCUGGACGAUGACUGACGCUGAGACGCGAAAGCGUGGGGAGCAAACAGG
This 253-nucleotide ribosomal RNA is filed under the name uncultured bacterium. RNAcentral describes it as "partial 16S ribosomal RNA". It matches the Rfam family "Bacterial small subunit ribosomal RNA", at positions 524 to 776 of the family's 1533-position model. The record is from RNAcentral.